This 476-nucleotide ribosomal RNA is filed under the name uncultured Glomus. RNAcentral describes it as "SSU rRNA". It matches the Rfam family "Eukaryotic small subunit ribosomal RNA", at positions 569 to 1050 of the family's 1831-position model. The record is from RNAcentral. Lineage: Eukaryota; Fungi; Glomeromycota; Glomeromycetes; Glomerales; Glomeraceae.
AGCAGCCGCGGUAAUUCCAGCUCCAAUAGCGUAUAUUAAAGUUGUUGCAGUUAAAAAGCUCGUAGUUGAAUUUCGGGAUCAAUGCGUCGGUCGUGCCUUCGGUACGUACUAGCGUCAUUGAUUCCUCCCUUCUGAAGAACCGUGAUGUCAUUAAUUUGGUGUUACGGGAAAUCAGGACUGUUACCUUGAAAAAUUAGAGUGUUUAAAGCAGGCUAACGCUUGAAUACAUUAGCAUGGAAUAAUGAAAUAGGACGUUCGAACCUAUUUUGUUGGUUUCUAGGAUCGACGUAAUGAUUAAUAGGGAUAGUUGGGGGCAUUAGUAUUCAAUUGUCAGAGGUGAAAUUCUUGGAUUUAUUGAAGACUAACUACUGCGAAAGCAUUUGCCAAGGAUGUUUUCAUUAAUCAAGAACGAAAGUUAGGGGAUCGAAGACGAUCAGAUACCGUCGUAGUCUUAACCAUAAACUAUGCCGACUAGG